GCUUGUCUCAAAGAUUAAGCCAUGCAUGUCUAAGUAUAAACAAAUCUAUACGUGAAACUGCGAAUGGCUCAUUAUAUCAGUUAUAGUUUAUUUGAUGGUCCUUACUACUUGGAUAACCGUAGUAAUUCUAGAGCUAAUACAUGCACCAAAUCCCGACUUACGAAGGGAUGUAUUUAUUAGAUGGAAACCAAUGCAGGGCAACCUGGAAUAUGGUGAUUCAUAAUAACUUUCGGAUCGACCUCGUGUCGAUGCAUCAUUCAAGUUUCUGCCCUAUCAGCUCUGGAUGGUAGGGUAUUGGCCUACCAUGGCUUUAACGGGUAACGGAGAAUUAGGGUUCGAUUCCGGAGAGGGAGCCUGAGAAAUGGCUACCACAUCCAAGGAAGGCAGCAGG
This 391-nucleotide ribosomal RNA is filed under the name uncultured Chrysophyceae. Its description in RNAcentral is "partial small subunit ribosomal RNA". It matches the Rfam family "Eukaryotic small subunit ribosomal RNA", at positions 30 to 432 of the family's 1831-position model. Lineage: Eukaryota; Chrysophyceae. The record is from RNAcentral.